RNAcentral lists this ribosomal RNA (253 nucleotides) under uncultured bacterium. RNAcentral's name for it is "partial 16S ribosomal RNA". It matches the Rfam family "Bacterial small subunit ribosomal RNA", at positions 524 to 776 of the family's 1533-position model. The record is from RNAcentral.
UACGUAGGUGGCGAGCGUUGUCCGGAAUUACUGGGUGUAAAGGGCGUGUAGGCGGCACUGUAAGUCAGAUGUGAAAUCUCCCGGCUCAACCGGGAGCGUGCAUCUGAUACUGCAGUACUUGAGUGAUAGAGGGGAAAGCGGAGUUCCUAGUGUAGCGGUAAAAUGCGUAGAUAUUAGGAGGAACACCAGUGGCGAAGGCGGCUUUCUGGCAAUCAUCAGACGCUGAGGUACGAAAGCGUGGGUAGCAAACAGG